GAUAGCUGGUUCUCCCCGAAAUAGCUUUAGGGCUAGCGUCGCAGCGAGAGAGCCGUGAAGGUAGAGCACUGAAUAUGCGAUGGCCGCAUCCCGCGGUACUGAGCAUAAUCAAACUCCGAAUGUCACGGUGUCAUCUGCGGCAGUCAGACGGCGAGUGAUAAGGUCCGUCGUCAAGAGGGAAACAGCCCAGACCAUCAGCUAAGGUCCCAAAGUGCAUGCUAAGUGGAAAAGGAAGUGGAGAUGUGCAGACAACUAGGAGGUUGGCUCAGAAGCAGCCAUCCUUCAAAGAGUGCGUAACAGCUCACUAGUCGAAUGACUCUGCGCCGAUAAUUUACCGGGGCUAAGCAUGACACCGAAGCUAUGGACAGGAAUGUGGUAGGGGAGCAUUGCAUGCAGCGGAGAAGCAUGACCGGGAGGGCAUGUGGAGCGCAUGGAAGAGAGAAUGCCGGCGUGAGUAGCGGCACGUGGGUGAGAAUCCCACGCACCGAUGGCCCAAGGUCUCCAGAGGAAGGCUCGUCCUCUCUGGGAUAGUCGGGACCUAAGGCGAGGCCGAAAGGCGUAGCCGAUGGACGACGGGUGGAUAUUCCCGUACCCGAUGUGUGGCGAUGGAGUGACGGAGAAGGCUCAGGCAACCAGCUGCUGGAAUAGCUGGGGCAAGCGAGAUACCUGCGCACCAGGGAAAUCCGGUGCGCAUAAGGGGAAGGCGCGAUGCAUACGGAAAGCUUCGGCAAGUACGGAAAAGCUGAGAGCAGGCUUCCAGGAAAAGCUUCUAGCACAACACACAUCGGCCCGUACCGAAAAUGGACACACAUGGGCAAGGAGAGAAUCCUGAGGUGAGCGAGAGAACUAUAGCUAAGGAACUCUGCAAAAUGACCCCGUAACUUAGGGAGAAGGGGUGCUCCAGAAAUGGAGCCGCAGUAAAACGGCCCAAGCGACUGUUUACCAAAAACACAGCUCUCUGCGAAGGCGCAAGCCGAAGUAUAGGGGGUGACGCCUGCCCGGUGCUGGAAGGUCAAGGGGAGCUGUCAGCGCAAGCGAAGCAGCGAGCCGAAGCCCCAGUAAACGGCGGCCGUAACUAUAACGGUCCUAAGGUAGCGAAAUUCCUUGUCGGGCAAGUUCCGACCCGCACGAAAGGCGUAACGAUUUGGGCGCUGUCUCAGCUGUAGACUCGGUGAAGUCUUAGUACCUGUGAAGAUGCAGGUUGCCCGCGACUAGACGGAAAGACCCCAUGGAGCUUCACUGCAGGUUGACAUUGGGCUUGGAUGCAUGAUGUACAGGAUAGGUGGGAGGCUGUGAGCCGUGCGCGCCAGCGUACGGGGAGCCGCUGUUGGGAUACCACCCUUCAUGCAUCUAGGUCCUAACCGGAGGCAACGGGCCACGGGACAGUGUCAGUCGGGCAGUUUGACUGGGGCGGUCGCCUCCCAAAGAGUAACGGAGGCGCCCAAAGAUACCCUCAGCAUGGAUGGAAACCAUGCAUAGAGUGCAAAGGCAUAAGGGUGUCUGACUGCGAGACAUACAGGUCGAGCAGGGACGAAAGUCGGGCUUAGUGAUCCGGCGGAUCCGAAUGGAAGGGCCGUCGCUCAACGGAUAAAAGCUACCCUGGGGAUAACAGGCUGAUCUCCCCCAAGAGUUCACAUCGACGGGGAGGUUUGGCACCUCGAUGUCGGCUCAUCGCAUCCUGGAGCUGAAGUCGGUUCCAAGGGUUGGGCUGUUCGCCCAUUAAAGCGGUACGCGAGCUGGGUUCAGAACGUCGUGAGACAGUUCGGUCCCUAUCUGUCGUGGGCGCAGGAGGUUUGAGGAGAGCUGCCCCUAGUACGAGAGGACCGGGGUGGACGGACCGAUGGUGCACCAGUUGUCACGCCAGUGGCACAGCUGGG
RNAcentral lists this ribosomal RNA (1877 nucleotides) under human gut metagenome. Its description in RNAcentral is "bacterial LSU rRNA". It matches the Rfam family "Bacterial large subunit ribosomal RNA", at positions 844 to 2745 of the family's 2925-position model. The record is from RNAcentral.